GAUGUAGGAAGUGACUGUAGGUUUAGAUGAAUGGAAAAUGAACUUGCCAGUUCACAGCUAUGUCCUUCCCAAUUUAGGAGGUUAAGGGCAGGAAAAACAUGAGAAACUCUUUUGAGAAGCUGCACAAGCUGACAUGGAGGAUCAAGGAUUUCAAAAGCUUUGAAUAUAAAGAGCCCUAUGCCUUCACAAGAACAAGUUCCCACACCAGGGUCAAGAAGGAAACCGUAAGUCAAGACAAAAGUGCCCAGUGAAGGCAGAAGAUGAGGGGUCUCAGGUUGCAUCUUCGGAGGCACGAGGAUUCAAAGGUGAACAAAGCACACAGUACAUCAUUUGAUGUGAUGGAGUCUCGCUCUGUUGCCUAGGCUGGAGUAUACUGGCAUGAUCUCGCCUCACUGCAAGCUCUGCCUCCCAGGUUCACGUCAUUCUCCUGCCUCAGCCUCCCGAGUAGCUGGGACUACAGGAGCGUGUCACCACGCCCGGCUAAUUUUUUUUUGUAGUUUUAGUGGAGACUGGGUUUCACCAUGUUAACCAGGAAGAUUUUUGCAUGCUGAAUAUUUAUAAACUUUAUUGUAUGCAGUUUUCUUGCCAAUCCUCUAUUCCUCCCUACACAAAUCAAAAAUGUCCAAUAUAUUUUACAUAAAAGAAAUCUAAAAUCAAAACUGAGAGAUAAAGAUCUAGUGAAGAAAUCUGUCACCUUAAAAAUAAACAUGAUUAUUGGUGGCAAUAGUAAUUCAGAAUCACUUGCAAAGUUAAAAUUCGGAGCUAAACCGUGUACAUUUUGUAAGCAAAUAUAACAGUAAACUCUUUAAUUUGAACAUUGAACUAGAAAUCUAUCUCCCAAAAAAUUACAAUUUUGUGAAACAGGAACCAAAACUAUAUACUAAGAUAACAGUAAUUCAUCAGGUACUUUUUUGGAUAUUAUUUACUAUACACAUUUUUGUUCUACCUUACAAAAGUUAAUAAUCUUUCAUUAACAUUAAAUAGAAUUAAUCAAUUCAACAA
Molecule: long non-coding RNA, 1002 nt
Organism: Homo sapiens (human)
Lineage: Eukaryota; Metazoa; Chordata; Mammalia; Primates; Hominidae
Product: long intergenic non-protein coding RNA 1684
Source: Ensembl